Molecule: ribosomal RNA, 397 nt
Filed under: uncultured bacterium
Lineage: Bacteria
Description: partial 16S ribosomal RNA
Rfam family: Bacterial small subunit ribosomal RNA
Source: RNAcentral
AUACGUAGGGGGCGAGCGUUGUCCGGAAUGAUUGGGCGUAAAGGGCGCGUAGGCGGCCUGUUAAGUCUGGAGUGAAAGUCCUGUUUUCAAGGUGGGAAUUGCUUUGGAUACUGCCGCGCUUGAGUGCAGGAGAGGUUAUCGGAAUUCCCGGUGUAGCGGUGAAAUGCGUAGAGAUCGGGAGGAACACCAGUGGCGAAGGCGGGUAACUGGACUGCAACUGACGCUGAGGCGCGAAAGUGUGGGGAGCAAACAGGAUUAGAUACCCUGGUAGUCCACACUGUAAACGAUGAAUGCUAGGUGUAAGAGGUAUCGACCCCUUUUGUGCCGGAGUCAACACAAUAAGCAUUCCGCCUGGGGAGUACGGCCGCAAGGUUGAAACUCAAAUGAAUUGACGGGG